UUUAAGCUUUCCCAUCAUCCUUUUACAAAAGAAGUCAGCUACAAGUGCAUGUGUAUUAUAAAAUCUUAACUUUUCAUCUUCAUCUUUAGAUGGUAUUCAUCUGAAUUCAUCCAUGACUAUUCAACUUCUCAAAACCCUCCAAUUUCAUCAUUAAUGAUGAAUUAAUAUAUUUAUGGCCUUUAAUCUUAUAGCCUUUGAUCUUUCUCCUUUGGCCUAUAAAUGGGUGAUAUGUAGUCUUGUAUCGUGAGGUGAAAAGUAAGAAAAAA
This 266-nucleotide long non-coding RNA is filed under the name Phoenix dactylifera (date palm). RNAcentral's name for it is "long non-coding RNA (PDAC_LNC018583)". The record is from RNAcentral. Lineage: Eukaryota; Viridiplantae; Streptophyta; Magnoliopsida; Arecales; Arecaceae.